ACGGAGGGUGCGAGCGUUAUUCGGAAUUACUGGGCGUAAAGCGCGUGCAGGCGGGGGGGCAAGUCUGAUGUGAAAACCCUGGGCUUAACCCGGGGAGGGCACUGGAAACUGUCUUUCUUGAGUACUGGAGAGGAAGGGGGAAUUCCCGGUGUAGAGGUGAAAUGCGUAGAUAUCGGGAGGAAUACCAGUGGCGAAGGCGCCCUUCUGGACUGUUACUGACGCUGAGACGCGAAAGCGUGGGGAGCGAACAG
RNAcentral lists this ribosomal RNA (251 nucleotides) under uncultured prokaryote. Its description in RNAcentral is "partial 16S rRNA". It matches the Rfam family "Bacterial small subunit ribosomal RNA", at positions 525 to 775 of the family's 1533-position model. The record is from RNAcentral.